Mytilus trossulus (common blue mussel) is the source of this 1445-nucleotide long non-coding RNA. RefSeq lists it as uncharacterized. The record is from RefSeq and is a predicted model, not a curated record. Lineage: Eukaryota; Metazoa; Mollusca; Bivalvia; Mytilida; Mytilidae. The transcript has 2 exons.
UCCAUCUGAGUUUUACAUUUUGGUCCGAUAUUGUACUGUUACCCGUUUGUCUUGUGGUUAAGGGGAUGCUUUUGGGGCCAUCAAACAUUUUUUGAUCAACCCAAAUGUGUAUGUGUCUGUCCCAUAUCGUAGCCUGUAAUUUAGGAGAUAACUGUAUUGUAUUUUAAGCUCCGACGGCAUCAAUUGGGGAUUUGAUGGUCGCACAUUAAGUUUACUGGCGACCAUGUUUAAUAGAUUGACACAAAAAUAACUAUCUUAAAUAGAUCUGUUAGGCGCUACAAGGUUGAUUUUGUUACACAGAAUAUGUUUAAACAUUCGGAGACAUUUAAAAAAUCGUAUGAAUCACAUUUAAAUCAUAAAAUACUAUAAAGCGCGAGGUAGUAGUAUUUAUUCGUGAGAAAUACUGACUGUUACAUUUCCAUGAUCAUGCACCAAACACUGUGAGUCGUUUUAGAGUAUCUAAACAGAGUUUAUCCUAAGAUUUUAUUAACAGCUUUCUUCAAAUCAUAUAUAAAGUAAACUAAACAAACCAUACAUGUAACACAAAUCGAGUCUUUAUGAAAUUGCUUUGUCAACGUUUUUUGUAAAUUUUGAAAAUACUGUUAUUUAUUUGAUAAACAUGUAAAUGUAUUUUAAACAAGAGUGGCAUGACAAAAUGACUUUGUUCAAUUAUGUGUUGUAGAUACAGAUUCAAUCUUGUUUAUAGCCAUCGGUGUAGGUUCUGUUGUUGUGGUGAUCGCUUUGAUUGUAGUUGUCACUAUCAAAAUUAUCAGGCGAAAAGGCAAUAGAAACAAGGAUGGUAUUGAAGUUCAACCUGAUAUAGAUAGCAAUGACGAUGAUUCUGACGGAUUAAAAUAUAAUUGUCUAUACAAUGCAUCUGAACAACAAGACAUCAUAGAAGGGGAUUAUCAUACAGUUGACCUAAAAUUAAAACAAAAUAGAACUAGGAUACAUAACUUAGGUACUGACUACAGUACAGUCGAUGGAAACUAUAGCUCUGUUGAUAUGGUUAAUAUGCCUGCAAAGGAUGGUUCAAAAUCCGACAAAAGAACUAUGUCAUCAUCCACCAUAAAACAAAGAUCAGAAACACCACGAAUUGAAGAACAAACGAGUAAUAAUUUAAAACAUAUGACUGCUGGAAGUAAUGCAGAGUAUGCUGUUGUGGACAAAAGCGACAAAAGUGACAUAAUGGACCAGAACAUAAAACACGUUAGUGCUCCAAAUGAUAUCAAUGUCGAGUAUGCUGUUGUUGAUAAAUCAAAAGCAUAAAUAAUUAAUAACUAGUCUUUUCAUACUCUGGAAGCCUUUACACUCCAUACAUUAUACUGACGUUUGUUGUUACAUAUCAAUACAGACUUGUAAGUUUAACAAUCAAUAUUGAGUCUCUUAUACAUGUACAUUCUACACUGAUAUGAUAUCAGUUGAGCAAUUAAACUUUGAUCUUA